This 529-nucleotide ribosomal RNA is filed under the name uncultured bacterium. Its description in RNAcentral is "partial 16S ribosomal RNA". It matches the Rfam family "Bacterial small subunit ribosomal RNA", at positions 355 to 900 of the family's 1533-position model. The record is from RNAcentral.
UGGGGAAUAUUGCACAAUGGGCGAAAGCCUGAUGCAGCAACGCCGCGUGAGUGAUGAAGGUCUUCGGAUUGUAAAGCUCUGUCUUUUGGGACGAUAAUGACGGUACCAAAGGAGGGAGCCACGGCUAACUACGUGCCAGCAGCCGCGGUAAUACGUAGGUGGCGAGCGUUGUCCGGAUUUACUGGGCGUAAAGGGUGCGUAGGCGGAUGUUUAAGUGAGAUGUGAAAUACCCGGGCUUAACUUGGGUGCUGCAUUUCAAACUGGAUAUCUAGAGUGCAGGAGAGGAGAAUGGAAUUCCUAGUGUAGCGGUGAAAUGCGUAGAGAUUAGGAAGAACACCAGUGGCGAAGGCGAUUCUCUGGACUGUAACUGACGCUGAGGCACGAAAGCGUGGGUAGCAAACAGGAUUAGAUACCCUGGUAGUCCACGCCGUAAACGAUGAGUACUAGGUGUAGGAGGUAUCGACCCCUUCUGUGCCGCAGUAAACACAUUAAGUACUCCGCCUGGGAAGUACGAUCGCAAGAUUAAAAC